CUCUCUAGCAUGAGUCGGCUCUCGCGAGGUCAGAUGGCACCGUCCGCCCGCACGGCGCAAGUCGUUGCGGGGUCGUUUCGGUGGUCACUCGGCGCUCGUGGGGGUUAUGCCGGCCGCGGUGGGCCGCACUUCUCCCUCAGUAGGACGUCGCGACCCGUUGGACGGCGGUCGACGGCCCCGGCGGUAGCCCGGGACGCGGGAAAGCUUUGCCGUACCGUGCUCCCGGACCCCGGGUCGCCCGACCGAUCGUCAGACGGUAUGGAACGCAGGUGUCGGACCGCCACCGUUAAUCGGGCGUCCGGGCCGUUCGCAAGCUUGAGCGCACCAGGAUGACGGUACUUGUGCCCGGCUCUUCGGUGCGCCAAACUGUUGGCGGACGUGUCCUCGGACGGGUCUUGUAACACCGGUCAGCGAUGUCCGUUUAAGGUACUUAUCCGACCCGUCUUGAAACACGGACCAAGGAGUCUAACAUGUGCGCGAGUCAUUUGGGUGCUUGAAACACCUAAAGGCGCAAUGAAAUUGAAGGCCUGACUUGUCAGACCGAGGGAGGAUGGACGCGCGGCCCGAGUGGCGGCGUCCCGCACUCCCGGGGCGUCUCGUUCUCAUUGCGAGGAGAGGCGCACCCAGAGCGUACACGUUGGGACCCGAAAGAUGGUGAACUAUGCCUGGCCAGGACGAAGUCAGGGGAAACCCUGAUGGAGGUCCGUAGCGAUUCUGACGUGCAAAUCGAUCGUCAGAGCUGGGUAUAGGGGCGAAAGACUAAUCGAACCAUCUAGUAGCUGGUUCCCUCCGAAGUUUCCCUCAGGAUAGCUGGUGCUCGGAGGACGAAUCUCAUGCGGUAAAGCGAAUGAUUAGAGGCCUUGGGGCCGAAACGACCUCAACCUAUUCUCAAACUUUAAAUGGGUGAGACCUCCGGCAUGCUUGAAUCUCCUUUCUUGAUGCCGGAGCGCUCGGAUCCAGAGUACCAAGUGGGCCAAUUUUGGUAAGCAGAACUGGCGCUGUGGGAUGAACCAAACGCAGAGUUAAGGCGCCCGAACGACGCUCAUGGGAAACCAUGAAAUGCGUGGGUUGCUUGAGACAGCAGGACGGUGGCCAUGGAAGUCGGAAUCCGCUAAGGAGUGUGUAACAACUCACCUGCCGAAGCAACUAGCCCUGAAAAUGGAUGGCGCUGUAGCGUCGUGCCUAUACUCUGCCGUCAAUGGCAAA
RNAcentral lists this ribosomal RNA (1206 nucleotides) under Cuerna sp. Dietrich USA01. Its description in RNAcentral is "eukaryotic LSU rRNA". The stretch from base 343 to 1206 matches the Rfam family "Eukaryotic large subunit ribosomal RNA", at positions 1 to 1365 of the family's 3401-position model. Lineage: Eukaryota; Metazoa; Arthropoda; Insecta; Hemiptera; Cicadellidae. The record is from RNAcentral.